This is a long non-coding RNA of Capsicum annuum, 5005 nucleotides long. RefSeq lists it as uncharacterized. The transcript has 2 exons. Lineage: Eukaryota; Viridiplantae; Streptophyta; Magnoliopsida; Solanales; Solanaceae. The record is from RefSeq and is a predicted model, not a curated record.
GCCAUUUUUAGCCCAUAUUUUUUUUAGAUAAUUAACAAAACAAUCAAACACAAGGGGCUAUUUAUAAAAGUUUCCUUAACUUUACAUUAAAUUAUAAAAUAUACUGAAGUCACAUGUAUCUAUGUACCUGAGCUCGCAUGUAUCUGAUACUAUGUAUCUAGCAUUGUACAUCUAAGAUUGUGUAUGUAGCACAUAUCUACAUGUAUCUGUGCAUAAAUCAUAAAGAUACAUGAAACCAACAACAACCACCAUCCUUCCUUUUUCGGCUAGUUCAGAUCUGUGUUAUUUGGCUACCACCACUUUCCCUAUUUUUUUUGGCAACCAUACUUUCUUUAUUUUUUUCGGUGAAUUUAGACAACCACUUCACCACUCUCCACCUUUUUUCUCCAAGCAUCUGCCAGAUCUACCUCUCCCUCGUCCAAGCACCAACUCUACUUCGGCGAGCAACCACACCCAAUCUCCACGUAUAUGUCAGAUCUAUCUUCAAUCUUCACGCAUUGAUGGUGAACUAUUGAAAUCUGUUAUCUUCUCCGAUCCAUACCACCACUACUACGAGUUCCAAGCUCAGAUGAUAUCCACAACUUUAUCUCAGCCCCAAUCUUACGGUGCCACUGCUCCGACGAGUACCAUCAACCAGAGAUACACAAUAAAAAUUUUGGGUGUAUUUGUGUAUCUCAGAUAUAAUCAAAAUUUGUAUUGUGUAUUUGAGCAAUUACUCGGUAUAUUUUAUAAUUAGGUAUACAACCUCCUAUAUUUUUGAUAUUUUUCUUUUUUUUUUUUGUUUUUUUCGCUAGCUACCUCAACUCCACCUUCUCCGAUCGCCUCCUCAUUUUUUAGAUCGUCACUAGCAGUCGUUACCUCUUUCGUAUCACCAUCACUACUGCCUCUACCUUCAUCUUUUCUAAUUGAAUCGUCCUCGCCAUCGAUGUCACCACCACUUCCUUCUUCUUGAGAUUGCCAUCGAUGUCACCACCACUUCCUUCUUCUUGAGAUUAAACAACUAUCUUUUUUUUUUCAGAUUCAAUUAUCAUUGACCACCACCUUUUUCUACUCUUCUAACUGAACCAUAGUAGUUGUUGUUGUCGCUGCCACCACCAUCACUACCUCCUUGCUCUUCAAAUUCGGCCAUAACCCCCAUCUUCAUUAGAUUCAGUCAAAGCCACCGCCUUCUUCUCCUUUUUUCUUUUAGAUUGGCUUUAUGCGUCGAUCGAUGCAAAGUAGUGUAUGUUUUAAUCAAGAAUAUUUUUAGUGGAGAUCUACUCUUAUCCUAAUUAAGUAGAUUGCUUUUUUGGAUAGGUCUAUCACUUCAUCAUCCUUCUUCUAUUUUGAUUUAUUCAUCGUUGUUGUCGUCGCUAUCAACACCUCGUCCUCUUAAUCCUCUAUUUUUUUUAAAUAAAAUAAAAUUUGGACUUUUUAUUAAGAAAAUGAGAUAAGUCUGUACAACAUAGGCUCAAGUGAGCCCAUAAUUGAGAAGAAAGAAAAAAAGACUCAGUCCAUAAUCAUAUCAGGCUGAAAUAAAAACUUAAGGACACUAUAAGAAUUCCUAAUUUGAGCUCUUUUUCUUUUCAUUUUUCAAUAUCGCCGCUGAGAGCAAUCUUUAAUCGAGUGUUCUGUUACUUGUUAUGCGGAUCAUUAGUCUUUUUGGAGGUGAAUCUGAUGAUAAGGAUGUUAUUUUUAGCUAGCAAAGUUGUGCUUUACCUUUUUAUUCUUUCUUCAUUUAAUAACUAUUCUCCUCACCUUCCUCCGAUGUUCAUGUUAAUGUGUUGUCCGAUGGAGAAAGUAGAAUCCAAGGUUGGAUUGAUAGAGAUGUUGAGUCUUGUUCACUGAAUCUGAAAAAACCUGUAAGUACCUGAGCUCUCUUGACUCCUUAUUUGCUUUAUUUUCUCAUGCUUUGACCUUUUUCUCAGCUGAAAUAGUGGCCAUCACCAUCAUUUCAUUCAUCUUCUCUUUUAGAUCUGGUCAUCACCGCCACCCCAUCUGUCUUAGUCUUUUUUUUUUAUCUAGAUCAUCAUCAUUGUUGUUGUUGUUUCCACCACCUCCUCAUCCUUCUUUUCUAUCUGGAGCAUCACCAUCAUUUUUGGUGUUUUCACCACCACUCCUUUUUUUUUUUUUUUGCAAAUUUGAUUAUCACCAUCUCUUCUUUUCAAAUUUGGUCAUUAUCAUCACCUCUUUGUUCUUGAAAUAUAUUCAACCAUAAAUUUUUUUUUUAGAUACUCUCGCUGAUAUCACCUUUUCUUUAUUGACCUCAUUAGAAUAACCUCUUUAUUUUUUUUCAAAUUGGAUAACAUUAUAAUUUGGGAAAUAUUAUAAAUAUCUCAAUUUUUCUUCAGAUCCAAGCAACAUUAUAAUCACAUUUUUACCGUAUUUAGGCGAUAUCACCACUAACUUCUUCUUAUUCUUUUCUGAUCUAACUAUUACUAUCAUGACCACUGUCACCUUUGUUUAAUAUUUCUUUUUUAGAUCCGACUUUAUCCACUUACUUUUUCUUGACGAGGCUAAGGUACACAUUUAUUUCAAGUUUGUGCUUUGUCAAAUUUUAGUAUAAUUUUAAAUAUCGAUUUCACAAAAACUGAAAUCACCUAGAUUAAAUAUUGUAUCAUUUUAAUUAUUAUUUGAGAGCAUAAAAUUAAUAAAAGAUCAGUUUGGAACUAUAUAUUAUUUAGAGUAAAACAAAUUAGUUUUUGUAUUUAAAACAGUUAGUAACCAUCGAUUUUCCUUGAUAUGUUAUUACAUUAAUUGUCAGUCUUUGCAUAUAUUUCUCUAAAGAAUAAUUAUUUUUUAAUUUUUAUAUAAUUACAUUUUGCUCAAUAGAAAUAAAUAAAUAAAUAAAUAAAUAAUCAACAUAUCUAUGAAGUUAUGAUAAAUAAUUAAGUUAAAACUAGCCUCGAUUGAAUCAAAAUAUUUUCUUUUUGAAAUUGUGUGUAAAGACCUCUUGGGAUUAAUUUUUAAAUCAAUAAACUUAUUUAAGUCAAUUCUUUUGCCGUUUAGAAUUAGAACUAAAAGAAAUAAAAUAAAGACUCAUCAAAUAAAUAAACUUAUUUGAGUCAAUUCCUUUAUGAGAAUUAAAAUUAAAAAAUAAAUAAAUUAUAAAUUAUUUAAAUUAAUAAACUUACUUGAGUCAAUUUCUUAAUAAUGAAAAUUCGGACUGAAUUAAACAAGAUUUACGAUUUGAAAUAAUAAAUAACCAAACUUUACUCUCUUUUCUUUUUGAUAACUAAUUGGUUGUAUUAGUCACCAGAACCUUUAUGGAGUUGUCGAGGCAGUUACCACGACUAACUUUUAUAAAAGUCCAAUAUAUUAACAAAUUGACUUUUGACCUAAGUCAAAAGUUAUAAAUUAAAAUUUCUAAUUCAUAAUUUAUUUUUAUUAUUUUAGCUUAAAAUUUAGUGUUUAUAAGUAUUUUUUUUUAUUUUACUCAAAUAUUAUAAAAAUAUUUAAAACAGCUAUUUCAACUUAAAAACAAUUAAAAUAUUUCUUGCUAUUGCAGCUCUGUUAUCCACAAUUGUAUGUUGAUCAAAUUGAGGCCACCACCUGACAUUGAUAAACAAACUCUACCCAACUUUUCUUUAACUGAGAUUUAGUUUUCUCUAUUAUUUUACUCAGUAUUUAUUAUGUAUUAAUUUUACUUUGUGAGAAUUAUGAAAUAAGUUUAAAAUAAUUUAAGAGAGAAAAUACAUAGGUGUGACUAUAAUAUAUACUAAUUGAAGUAAAACUAUUGUUCUAUCACAAUAUGGAGAUGUAGUAUAUAAAUAAAGCAUUUUAAACGAAAUAUAUAUUAAAAGUGAGAUAAUAUUAUAAAUAUAUCAAGUUUUAUUAGCUAUUUUAUUUUAAUAAGGGAACCAAGAUAAAUUCUUGUCUUCCAAUUGCACAUUGAAGCCUCAAUUUAUGGAAGAAUUAAAAUGUACUACUGUUCAUGAUCAUCAUUCCCCACAAUUACAUAUAUGAAUUUUAUAUAUGCAACUAUGAAUCUAUUCAUUUCAAUUCUCAAAUGUGUGUAUUUCAUAUAGUUGGCAUGUAUGAAAUUCGGUUUGAGAUUCCCUCCAGUAACAAGUUUUAAAUACGUAAUAAUAAUGUAAUUAAUGAUUUUAUAAAGAUUUGAUUUCAAAAACAUAAAAAGUUAUUACAUAUAAAAAAAAUAAUCAUACCAUAAAUAUGGUUAAAAUUUAUGCGUUUUUCUUGAUCUUUGACAGCAAGGGAAAGAGAUAUUGCAUGGCAAAUGCAAAAUUGAUGAUCCAUCAAUCAAUUGAAACUUCUGGUGGUAAACUCUAGGCUAAAUGCAUAUACAGGACCCUUAACUAUUUCGCUUUUUUCGUAUAGGCACCUCAAUUAAGACAGAUACCUAUUGAACACUUUACUCCUUCACAAAACGUGGCAAUAUUUGAGCACAAUCGCUGACGUGGUGCUGACGUGCGCGUGGCAUGUGUAAUACACUCUCCAUUAGGAGAGUGAGAAGCCAUAAUUUAUUAAAUAGGAGAGAGAGAUCGAGAAAAGAAGACAAAAAGAGACGAAGUGUGACUGUUUCCACCGGAAGUUCCCCGGAUUAACACCGGAAAAACAUCCGGUUGUUGUUGUUAUUGUUUUCCGGUGAUUUAACGCUGGGGAACGUUGUUGGUCGCCCGAAUUCGUCCAAAUCUGAUCGUUUCUGCUCAACACAAUUAACCGCCGGAAAAUCAUAUUGUUGCAGUGUUGGAAAAACAAAAUUAAAAAAUAAAAUAAAAAAAGCAUUCAAUGUAAUUUCAGUUUAUGCUUCUCUCUCUUUCUCCCUCCGAUUCUCCCCUUUUCUCUCUUGCUUUCUCACCUUUUCUCUAUCUCUGUUCACUGUGCGCGUGUGAAUCUGGUGAGGUUAGUGUGCGUGUGUGUUCUCGUGAAGGUGAAGUAUCAGAUGUGCGUGUGAGCAUGUCAAUUUGUUGCUGUGAUGUGUAGUCUAUUUCAGUGAAAAAUAAUAUACGAACACUGCAAAAAUAAUAUAUGAAGAAGACAAAAAAAUAAUUUUUUUUUUCAAAAA